GUGCUUGCUUUGGCAGCACAUAUAUUAAAAUUGGUAAGAUAAACAGAAGAUUAGCAUGACCUCUGUGCAAGGAUAACACAUAAAUUCACACAAUUUUCCAUAUUUUG
This is a small nuclear RNA of Sarcophilus harrisii (Tasmanian devil), 107 nucleotides long. The record is from Ensembl. NCBI's taxonomy places the organism in Eukaryota, Metazoa, Chordata, Mammalia, Dasyuromorphia, Dasyuridae.